Molecule: ribosomal RNA, 462 nt
Filed under: uncultured bacterium
Lineage: Bacteria
Description: partial 16S ribosomal RNA
Rfam family: Bacterial small subunit ribosomal RNA
Source: RNAcentral
CCUACGGGUGGCUGCAGUGAGGAAUAUUGGUCAAUGGACGCAAGUCUGAACCAGCCAAGUAGCGUGCAGGAUGACGGCCCUCCGGGUUGUAAACUGCUUUUAGUUGGGAAUAAAAGGGGGCUCGUGAGCCCCGUAUUGUAUGUACCAUCAGAAAAAGGACCGGCUAAUUCCGUGCCAGCAGCAGCGGUAAUACGGAAGGGCCGGGCGUUAUCCGGAUUUAUUGGGUUUAAAGGGAGCGUAGGCCGGCUUUUAAGUCAGCUGUGAAAGUCCGCGGCUCAACCGUGGAAUUGCAGUUGAAACGGGAGGCCUUGAGUGCACACAGGGAUGCCGGAAUUCCUGGUGUAGCGGUGAAAUGCAUAGAUAUCACGCAGAACCCCGAUUGCGAAGGCAGCAUGCCGGCUUCCGACUGACGCUGAAGCACGAAAGCGUGGGGAUCGAACAGGAUUAGAUACCCUUGUAGUC